Molecule: transfer RNA, 73 nt
Filed under: Stegodyphus mimosarum
Lineage: Eukaryota; Metazoa; Arthropoda; Arachnida; Araneae; Eresidae
Rfam family: tRNA
About the family: Transfer RNA (tRNA) molecules are approximately 80 nucleotides in length. Their secondary structure includes four short double-helical elements and three loops (D, anti-codon, and T loops).
Source: Rfam by way of RNAcentral
GCCUUCGUUGUGUAGUGGUCAGCACGCUCGUCGCGUGCUCGAGAGGUCCGUGGUUCAAAUCCCAGGGAGGGCA